GGUUCGAUCAUGGCUCAGAUUGAACGCUGGCGGGAUGCUUUACACAUGCAAGUCGAACGGCAGCACGACUUCGGUCUGGUGGCGAGUGGCGAACGGGUGAGUAAUGUAUCGGAACGUGCCUGGUAGCGAGGAUAACUACGCGAAAGCGUAGCUAAUACCGCAUACGCCCUUCGAGGAAAGCGGGAGGACAGCCGGGCUCGCACUGGCUGGAAGCGGCCGAUAUCGGAUUAGCUAGUUGGUGGGGUAACGGCUCACCAAGGCGACGAUCCGUAGCUGGUUUGAAGGACGACCAACCACACUGGGACUGAGACACAGCCAGACUCUACGGGAGGCAGCAGUGGGAAUUUUGGACAAUGGAAACCCUGAUCCAGCCAUCCCGCGUGUGCGAUGAAGGCCUUCGGGUUGUAAAAGCACUUUUGGCAGGAAAGCAGCUGCAGGAUAUAAUACCCCGUGCAACUGACGAAACACCUGCAGAAUAAGCACCAGAAGCUAACUACGUGCCAGCAACCGCGGUAAUACGUAGGUGCAAGCGUUAAUCGGAAUUACUGGGCGUAAAGCGUGCGCAGGCGGUUGGAAAGAUGCCGAAAAUCAGAGCUUAACUUUUGGAACUGCAUUUUAACUACCGAGCUAGAGAGUGUGUCAGAGGAGGUGGAAUUCCGCGUGUAGCAGUGAAAUGCGUAGAUAUGCGGAGGAACACCGAUGGCGAAGGCGGCCUCUACUGGGAUAACACUGACGCUCUCGCUUUUUGGCGUAGAACAAGCAAGUUAGAUACCCUGGUAGUCCACGCCCUAAACGUGUCAACUAGCUGUUGGGGCCUUCGGGCCUUGGUGGCUGGCUAACGCGUGAAGUUGACCGCCUGGAGAUACGGUCGCAGAUUAAAACUCAAAGGAAUUGACGGGGACCCGCACAGGCGGUGGAUGAUGUGGAUUAAUUCGAUGCAACGCGAAAACCUUACCUACCCUUGACAUGUCUGCAGAAUCCCGAAGAGAUUUGGGAGUGCUCGCAAGAGAACCGGAACACAGGUGCUGCAUGGCUGUCGUCAGCUCGUGUCGUGAGAUGUUGAUUAAGUCCCGCAACGAGCGCAGCCCUUGUCAUUAGUUGCUACGAAGGGCACUCUAAUGAGACUGCCGGUGACAAACCGGAGGAAGGUGGGGAUGACGUCAAGUCCUCAUGGCCCUUAUGGGUAGGGCUUCACACGUCAUACAAUGGUCGGAACUGAGGGUCGCCAACCCGCGAGGGAGCCAUCCAGGCCGAUCGUAGUCCGGAUCACGCAGUCUGCAACUCGACUGCGUGAAGUCCAGAUCGCUAGUAAUCGCGGAUCAGCAUGUCGCGGUGAAUACGUUCAGGUGCGUACACACGCCCGUCACACCAUGGGAGUGGGUUUUACCGAAGUAGUUAGCCUAACCGUAAGGAGGGCGAUUACCACGGUAGGAUUCAUGACUGGGGUGAAGUCGUAACAAAGG
This 1463-nucleotide ribosomal RNA is filed under the name uncultured Bordetella sp. RNAcentral describes it as "partial 16S-23S ribosomal RNA intergenic spacer". It matches the Rfam family "Bacterial small subunit ribosomal RNA". The record is from RNAcentral. Lineage: Bacteria; Pseudomonadati; Pseudomonadota; Betaproteobacteria; Burkholderiales; Alcaligenaceae.